RNAcentral lists this ribosomal RNA (253 nucleotides) under uncultured bacterium. RNAcentral describes it as "partial 16S ribosomal RNA". It matches the Rfam family "Bacterial small subunit ribosomal RNA", at positions 524 to 776 of the family's 1533-position model. The record is from RNAcentral.
UACAGAGGUCCCAAGCGUUGUUCGGAUUCAUUGGGCGUAAAGGGUGCGUAGGCGGCGCGGUAAGUCGGGUGUGAAAUCUCGGGGCUUAACUCCGAAACUGCAUUCGAUACUGCCGUGCUUGAGGACUGGAGAGGAGACUGGAAUUUACGGUGUAGCGGUGAAAUGCGUAGAUAUCGUAAGGAAGACCAGUGGCGAAGGCGGCUCACUGGCCCGGUACUGACGCUGAGGUGCGAAAGCGUGGGGAGCAAACAGG